Non-coding RNA from Cylindrotheca closterium, 73 nucleotides. NCBI's taxonomy places the organism in Eukaryota, Bacillariophyta, Bacillariophyceae, Bacillariales, Bacillariaceae. The record is from the annotation of a GenBank genome assembly.
AGGAAAAUAGCUCAGUCGGCAGAGCAGCGGUCUCCAAAACCGAAGGGCGGGGGUUCAAAUCCCUCUUUUCCUG